UUUACUGGACCAUUUUUAAAUUUAAAUAUUCAUGAAAUCAAUGUAAAUAAUUUUAAAUUGAACUAGAUAUAAACAUACAAAAAUUUUAACAUUUUGUGAUAAAAUAUUUUAUGGCGGUAUGAUACGGGUUAAAACUAAUACUCAAAUCUGCCUAAGAAAUGAUGUAAAAGACAAAAAAUAAAUAAAAAAUAAUACAUCAUCGAGCUCUAUAUACUCACUUAAUUUUCUACCUCUAAAUUAAUCAUUCAAAAUAUUUGAUAAGGCUAGAAACCAAAUCUCCUGCUUUCGCAAACUUUUACACGUG
Molecule: long non-coding RNA, 304 nt
Filed under: Capsella rubella
Lineage: Eukaryota; Viridiplantae; Streptophyta; Magnoliopsida; Brassicales; Brassicaceae
Description: long non-coding RNA (CRUB_LNC002323)
Source: RNAcentral